RNAcentral lists this ribosomal RNA (1358 nucleotides) under uncultured bacterium. RNAcentral's name for it is "bacterial SSU rRNA". It matches the Rfam family "Bacterial small subunit ribosomal RNA", at positions 28 to 1381 of the family's 1533-position model. The record is from RNAcentral.
GAUGAACGCUAGCUACAGGCUUAACACAUGCAAGUCGAGGGGCAGCAUGGUCUUAGCUUGCUAAGGCCGAUGGCGACCGGCGCACGGGUGAGUAACACGUAUCCAACCUGCCGUCUACUCUUGGACAGCCUUCUGAAAGGAAGAUUAAUACAAGAUGGCAUCAUGAGUCCACAUGUUCACAUGAUUAAAGGUAUUCCGGUAGACGAUGGGGAUGCGUUCCAUUAGAUAGUAGGCGGGGUAACGGCCCACCUAGUCUUCGAUGGAUAGGGGUUCUGAGAGGAAGGUCCCCCACAUUGGAACUGAGACACGGUCCAAACUCCUACGGGAGGCAGCAGUGAGGAAUAUUGGUCAAUGGGCGAGAGCCUGAACCAGCCAAGUAGCGUGAAGGAUGACUGCCCUAUGGGUUGUAAACUUCUUUUAUAAAGGAAUAAAGUCGGGUAUGGAUACCCGUUUGCAUGUACUUUAUGAAUAAGGAUCGGCUAACUCCGUGCCAGCAGCCGCGGUAAUACGGAGGAUCCGAGCGUUAUCCGGAUUUAUUGGGUUUAAAGGGAGCGUAGAUGGAUGUUUAAGUCAGUUGUGAAAGUUUGCGGCUCAACCGUAAAAUUGCAGUUGAUACUGGAUAUCUUGAGUGCAGUUGAGGCAGGCGGAAUUCGUGGUGUAGCGGUGAAAUGCUUAGAUAUCACGAAGAACUCCGAUUGCGAAGGCAGCCUGCUAAGCUGCAACUGACAUUGAGGCUCGAAAGUGUGGGUAUCAAACAGGAUUAGAUACCCUGGUAGUCCACACGGUAAACGAUGAAUACUCGCUGUUUGCGAUAUACAGCAAGCGGCCAAGCGAAAGCGUUAAGUAUUCCACCUGGGGAGUACGCCGGCAACGGUGAAACUCAAAGGAAUUGACGGGGGCCCGCACAAGCGGAGGAACAUGUGGUUUAAUUCGAUGAUACGCGAGGAACCUUACCCGGGCUUAAAUUGCAGAUGAAUUACGGUGAAAGCCGUAAGCCGCAAGGCAUCUGUGAAGGUGCUGCAUGGUUGUCGUCAGCUCGUGCCGUGAGGUGUCGGCUUAAGUGCCAUAACGAGCGCAACCCUUGUUGUCAGUUACUAACAGGUUCCGCUGAGGACUCUGACAAGACUGCCAUCGUAAGAUGUGAGGAAGGUGGGGAUGACGUCAAAUCAGCACGGCCCUUACGUCCGGGGCUACACACGUGUUACAAUGGGGGGUACAGAGGGCCGCUACCACGCGAGUGGAUGCCAAUCCCAAAAACCUCUCUCAGUUCGGACUGGAGUCUGCAACCCGACUCCACGAAGCUGGAUUCGCUAGUAAUCGCGCAUCAGCCACGGCGCGGUGAAUGCGUUCCCGGGCCU